GCGGCCAUGGCCUAGUGGUUAUGGCGUCAGUCUUACAGUGGCCUUGUGCCUCCAUGUGAACACUGAAGGUCGGUGGUUCGAUCCCGCCUGGCCGUA
Molecule: transfer RNA, 96 nt
Filed under: Diplodia corticola
Lineage: Eukaryota; Fungi; Ascomycota; Dothideomycetes; Botryosphaeriales; Botryosphaeriaceae
Description: Botryosphaeria corticola tRNA
Rfam family: tRNA
About the family: Transfer RNA (tRNA) molecules are approximately 80 nucleotides in length.
Source: Rfam by way of RNAcentral